UACAGGGGGUGCAAACGUUGCUCGGAAUCAUUGGGCGUAAAGCGCACGUAGGCGGUUCGUUAUGUCGGAUGUGAAAGCCCUUGGCUUAACCGAGGAAGUGCAUCCGAAACUGGCGAGCUAGAGUACGAAAGAGGAUCGCGGAAAUUCCCGGUGUAGAGGUGAAAUUCGUAGAUAUCGGGAGGAACACCGGUGGCGAAGGCGGCGAUCUGGGUCGAUACUGACGCUGAGGUGCGAAAGCGUGGGGAGCAAACAGG
RNAcentral lists this ribosomal RNA (254 nucleotides) under uncultured bacterium. RNAcentral describes it as "partial 16S ribosomal RNA". It matches the Rfam family "Bacterial small subunit ribosomal RNA", at positions 524 to 776 of the family's 1533-position model. The record is from RNAcentral.